AUAAAGUGGCUGAGUGUUAGGCGUUAGAUUGUAAAUCUAAAAACGAGAAAUUCUCCUUUAUUAG
This 64-nucleotide transfer RNA is filed under the name Pyrhila pisum. RNAcentral describes it as "tRNA-Tyr". It matches the Rfam family "tRNA". Rfam says of the family: Transfer RNA (tRNA) molecules are approximately 80 nucleotides in length. Their secondary structure includes four short double-helical elements and three loops (D, anti-codon, and T loops). The record is from RNAcentral. Lineage: Eukaryota; Metazoa; Arthropoda; Malacostraca; Decapoda; Leucosiidae.